This 227-nucleotide ribosomal RNA is filed under the name uncultured bacterium. Its description in RNAcentral is "partial 16S ribosomal RNA". It matches the Rfam family "Bacterial small subunit ribosomal RNA", at positions 118 to 346 of the family's 1533-position model. The record is from RNAcentral.
UGGGUGACCUGCCCUCAGCUCUGGGAUAAGCCUGGGAAACUGGGUCUAAUACUGGAUAUUCACUUCUCAUCGCAUGGUGGGUGGUGGAAAGUUUUUCGGCUGGGGAUGGGCCCGCGGCCUAUCAGCUUGUUGGUGGGGUGAUGGCCUACCAAGGCGACGACGGGUAGCCGGCCUGAGAGGGCGUCCGGCCACACUGGGACUGAGACACGGCCCAGACUCCUACGGGA